RNAcentral lists this small RNA (453 nucleotides) under Pan troglodytes (chimpanzee). RNAcentral's name for it is "retained intron". Lineage: Eukaryota; Metazoa; Chordata; Mammalia; Primates; Hominidae. The record is from RNAcentral.
CCGAGCUGGAGCGCGAGAUCCGCAUCAUCAACACGGAGCAGUACAUGCACUCGCUGACGUGGCAGCAGGCGCUCACGGGGCUGCUGGAGCGCAUGCAGGUGUGGGCCGGGGUGGCUGUGGGAGGGCCAGGGCGGUAGCCUCCUGGGUGCACACACCCAAUGCACACUUUGUGUCCCCAGACCUAUCAGGACGCGGAGUCGAGGCAGGUGCUGGCUGCCUGGAUGAAAGAGCGGCAGGAGCUGAGGUGCAUCACCAAGGCCCUGUUCAAUGCGCAGUUCGGCAGCAUCUUCCGCACCUUCCACAACCCCACCUACUUCUCGAGGCGCCUCGUGCGCUUCUCUGACCUCUACAUGGCCUCCCUCAGCUGCCUGCUCAACUACCGCGUGGACUUCACCUUCUACCCACGCCGUACGCCGCUGCAGCACGAGGCACCCCUCUGGAUGGACCAGCUCU